UGUAGCUCAGUGGUAGAAUGUUUGCCUAGUAUGCAUAAGGCCCUGGGUUCCACCCCCAGCA
Non-coding RNA from Ictidomys tridecemlineatus (thirteen-lined ground squirrel), 61 nucleotides. NCBI's taxonomy places the organism in Eukaryota, Metazoa, Chordata, Mammalia, Rodentia, Sciuridae. The record is from Rfam.